AAGUCGUAACAAGGUUUCCGUAGGUGAACCUGCGGAAGGAUCAUUAUAGUAUAUCUAUAUCUAGGAUGGGGGUGCUCUCGGGCCCCCCACCGCCAAACCUUCGAUAAUCUAACAUUAAUAAGUUAACCUUGGCUUGAGGCUUGAACUUAGCCUGUGGAUAAAACUAAAUUCUUUAAUAAACUGCUUGAAUUUAAUGUAAAUGUCUGAAUUAAUAUUAAAUAUUAAAA
Molecule: unclassified non-coding RNA, 227 nt
Filed under: plant metagenome
Description: partial contains small subunit ribosomal RNA and internal transcribed spacer 1
Rfam family: Eukaryotic small subunit ribosomal RNA (bases 1-46)
Source: RNAcentral